This 27-nucleotide small RNA is filed under the name Bombyx mori (domestic silkworm). RNAcentral's name for it is "ovarian small RNA-34057". Lineage: Eukaryota; Metazoa; Arthropoda; Insecta; Lepidoptera; Bombycidae. The record is from RNAcentral.
UGCUAAAUGUUGCUAUGACAGGAGUGU